GACGAACGCUGGCGGCGUGCUUAACACAUGCAAGUCGAACGGGAACCUUUAUUUCGGUAAAGGUGAGAGUGGCAAACGGGUGAGUAACACGUAGGCAACCUGCCGACAGGAUGGGGACAACAUUCCGAAAGGAAUGCUAAUACCGAAUGGAGUCCGGAGAUGGCAUCAUCUCCGGAUAAAAGAUGGCCUCUGAAUAUGCUAUCGCCUGUCGAUGGGCCUGCGUCUGAUUAGCCAGUUGGCGGGGUAACGGCCCACCAAAGCGACGAUCAGUAGCCGGUCUGAGAGGAUGAACGGCCACAUUGGGACUGAGACACGGCCCAGACUCCUACGGGAGGCAGCAGUGGGGAAUCUUCCACAAUGGGCGAAAGCCUGAUGGAGCAACGCCGCGUGAGUGAAGAAGGUCUUCGGAUCGUAAAGCUCUGUUGCACGGGACGAAAACCGAGCUUGAAAGUAUUGAGUUUGGGGACGUACCGAGCGAGGAGCCACG
RNAcentral lists this ribosomal RNA (487 nucleotides) under Selenomonas sputigena. RNAcentral describes it as "bacterial SSU rRNA". It matches the Rfam family "Bacterial small subunit ribosomal RNA", at positions 28 to 495 of the family's 1533-position model. Lineage: Bacteria; Bacillati; Bacillota; Negativicutes; Selenomonadales; Selenomonadaceae. The record is from RNAcentral.